This 103-nucleotide small nuclear RNA is filed under the name Nicotiana sylvestris (wood tobacco). The record is from RNAcentral. RNAcentral also lists the same sequence under 1 other name. Lineage: Eukaryota; Viridiplantae; Streptophyta; Magnoliopsida; Solanales; Solanaceae.
GUCCCUUAUGGGACAUCCGAUAAGAUUGGAACGAUAUAGAGUAAGUAGGCAUGGCCUCUGUGCGAGGAUGACACGCACAAAUAGAGAAAUGAUCUCCUCUUCU